GCCAAAAGAUAACUGGCCGUACCUCUACUUUACAGCCUCCUGAAGUUUCAGUAAAUUAUUACAUUGAUCUUCAUCAGUGUUCAAUUUUUGCCCUUCAGAUAAUCGAUUCAAACAUUGUGCAUCAACCAAAAAACAAUCAUCAGGAGAGCAUGAGGAUCCUCUCCUUAGGAUACACAACUAAGGGAUAUCAGCAUUAAUGUUACCAACAGUUUCUCCCUACCCUUGGGGGAAGAGGAUACUCAUG
This 244-nucleotide unclassified non-coding RNA is filed under the name Hevea brasiliensis (rubber tree). The record is from RNAcentral. Lineage: Eukaryota; Viridiplantae; Streptophyta; Magnoliopsida; Malpighiales; Euphorbiaceae.